RNAcentral lists this transfer RNA (84 nucleotides) under Halomonadaceae bacterium. Its description in RNAcentral is "tRNA-Leu". It matches the Rfam family "tRNA". Rfam says of the family: Transfer RNA (tRNA) molecules are approximately 80 nucleotides in length. Their secondary structure includes four short double-helical elements and three loops (D, anti-codon, and T loops). Lineage: Bacteria; Pseudomonadati; Pseudomonadota; Gammaproteobacteria; Oceanospirillales; Halomonadaceae. The record is from RNAcentral.
GCGGGAGUGGCGGAAUGGUAGACGCGCCGGUCUCAAACACCGGUACUGAAAGGUGUAAGGGUUCGAGUCCCUUCUCCCGCACCA